CGGAGGUCGUCUGGUCCGACAGGGCGACUGCCUGUGUGCUGCUCUGGCCCCCCUGUAUGCGCUGCUGCGUUUGUUGGCUGUGUUGCUGGAGGCCGGUGGUGGCGGUGCUGGUGUUUGGUGGUGGUAUCCAUCCUUCCGUCUUGUCCGCUGUGUUCCUGGGAGUGGGUUGCUUCACUGAGUGUGUCUGCCACGUGUGCCUGGUGAUUUAAGUUGGUUUCUCUUUUUUUUGGUGGAUCCUUCCCCUUCACUAGUCCUUGUCCACUCACUAGGCCUCAGCCCUGAUUAGGUUCUUUCCCCCUCCCUGUGUGAAUGUUUUUUUUUUAAAGAAAAAUGAUUGUUUAAUAAAAAGUGUAUUUUUUUUUAAAACUUGGAACCACGUCUCAUGCCCCUUUGAGUAAACGAACCUGUGUGUCUUGUAUUGAAGAAGUAAUCCCCUGGGUGAAAUUCCCAGGGUGGCGUUGUCGAGCC
Molecule: long non-coding RNA, 468 nt
Organism: Epinephelus fuscoguttatus (brown-marbled grouper)
Lineage: Eukaryota; Metazoa; Chordata; Actinopteri; Perciformes; Serranidae
Exons: 3
Source: RefSeq, a predicted model, not a curated record